This is a long non-coding RNA of Symphalangus syndactylus (siamang), 930 nucleotides long. RefSeq lists it as uncharacterized. Lineage: Eukaryota; Metazoa; Chordata; Mammalia; Primates; Hylobatidae. The record is from RefSeq and is a predicted model, not a curated record.
CCAGGCUGGAGUGCAGUGCUGUGAUCAUAGCUCACUGUAGCCUCAAAUUCCCGAUCUCAAGUAAUCCUCUCACCUCAGCCUACUGAGUAGCUGGGACUAUGGGAAGAAAAAGGGAGUCUCCAAGACAUCCACAUUUGAAUCCCUGGAACCUGUGAAUAUGUUACUUUAUAUGGCAAAAGGAACUUUGCAGGUGUGAGAACGGUUGAGGACCUUGAGAUGGGGAGAUCAUCCUGGAUUAUUUGAGUAAGCCCAACUUCAUCAAAUGAGUUCUUAGAAGAACCUUUCCUCUGAGAUGAGAGUCAGAGGGAGACGUGGCUAUGGAAGAAUGGUCAGAGAGCAAUGCAAAGUUGCUGGCUUUGAAGAUGGAAGAAGGGGCCAUGAGCCAAGAAAUAUGGUUGGUUUCUAGGAGCUGGAAGAGGCAAGAAGACAUAUUCUCCUCUAGACCCUCCAGAAGAAAUGCAGCCUCACUGACACCUUAAUUUUAGCCCUGAAAGACCCAUUUCAGAACUCUGACCUACAGAACUGUAAGAUGGAAAAAACAGUAUACCUAUAGGGUUUGGUACCAUUCCACAAUUUCAAGCAUCCACCGAGAGAUUUGGAACAUGUUCUUUGCAGAUAACAGGAGACUACUCUUAUCAACAAUGCUGUUUCAAAAUUGAUUAGUUCUCUGACUCGCCCACUGAAAUCAUCCAACCUAUUGAAAAAGCAGAAUGGGAUGUGGAUUAUAGGGUUUCAGAUAACACCAAGUCCCUAGUGAAAGAAACAAUCCUGAGAUUCACUCUGAACGCAAGCCUUUACUCAAGUCACGUGCUCAAGGCAGAGCCAAUCACUGAUUAGCUGGAUGGAAUGUGCUGAUUGGUUUAACAUAGGUUGCAUAUUUGACUCUUGGAGUUGGAGAUGAUAAGUGCUUCCCUUGAACCACCUGCAUCU